AUGAACGCUGGCGGCGUGCCUAAUACAUGCAAGUCGAGCGAACAGACGAGGAGCUUGCUCCUCUGACGUUAGCGGCGGACGGGUGAGUAACACGUGGAUAACCUACCUAUAAGACUGGGAUAACUUCGGGAAACCGGAGCUAAUACCGGAUAAUAUAUUGAACCGCAUGGUUCAAUAGUGAAAGACGGUUUUGCUGUCACUUAUAGAUGGAUCCGCGCCGCAUUAGCUAGUUGGUAAGGUAACGGCUCACCAAGGCAACGAUGCGUAGCCGACCUGAGAGGGUGAUCGGCCACACUGGAACUGAGACACGGUCCAGACUCCUACGGGAGGCAGCAGUAGGGAAUCUUCCGCAAUGGGCGAAAGCCUGACGGAGCAACGCCGCGUGAGUGAUGAAGGUCUUCGGAUCGUAAAACUCUGUUAUUAGGGAAGAACAAAUGUGUAAGUAACUAUGCACGUCUUGACGGUACCUAAUCAGAAAGCCACGGCUAACUACGUG
Molecule: ribosomal RNA, 496 nt
Filed under: uncultured bacterium
Lineage: Bacteria
Description: partial 16S ribosomal RNA
Rfam family: Bacterial small subunit ribosomal RNA
Source: RNAcentral